RNAcentral lists this ribosomal RNA (466 nucleotides) under Capnocytophaga cynodegmi. RNAcentral's name for it is "bacterial SSU rRNA". It matches the Rfam family "Bacterial small subunit ribosomal RNA", at positions 9 to 476 of the family's 1533-position model. The record is from RNAcentral. Lineage: Bacteria; Pseudomonadati; Bacteroidota; Flavobacteriia; Flavobacteriales; Flavobacteriaceae.
GAGUUUGAUUAUGGCUCAGGAUGAACGCUAGCGGCAGGCCUAACACAUGCAAGUCGAGGGGUAGAGUGCUUCGGCACUUGAGACCGGCGUACGGGUGCGUAACGCGUGUACAAUCUACCUUUUGCUAAGGGAUAGCCCGAAGAAAUUUGGAUUAAUACCUUAUAGUAUUAUUUGGUGGCAUCAUUGAAUAAUUAAAGCUACGGUGGCAAAAGAUGAGUACGCGUCCCAUUAGCUAGUUGGAGUGGUAACGGCACACCAAGGCUACGAUGGGUAGGGGUUCUGAGAGGGAUGUCCCCCACACUGGUACUGAGACACGGACCAGACUCCUACGGGAGGCAGCAGUGAGGAAUAUUGGACAAUGGUCGGAAGACUGAUCCAGCCAUGCCGCGUGCAGGAUGACGGCCUUAUGGGUUGUAAACUGCUUUUGUAUGGGAAGAAUAAGGUCUACGUGUAGAUUGAUGACGGU